UAAAUCUAAGUUAAUGAGGGAGAUGGGUCUAUAACUAGUGCAAAGGGAGGGGUCCUUACCCUCUUUAGGGAUCAUGACUAUCUUGGCCCUCUGCAUGUCCAAGGAAGGACGCGCUUCACCUGUGAGAAAGGCAUUGAAGAGACUCGUAAGGUGUGGGAGAAGACAUGCGGCAAAAGACUUGUAGUACUUGGCGGUAAAGCCAUCUGGGCCCGGGGCCUUCGGGUUCUUGAAAAGCUUCAAGGCAGCAGCUACUUCGUCCACCGUGAUAGGAGCAUUAAGCGCAGCAAGGGUCGUCGGAGUGAGCGAAGGCAGUUUACAGUCCAAGAGGAAGCGGCGCAAAUCAGAAGCGAGGGCCGGAGAUGAAGAUGUUUUUUUGCCGUCGUAGAGAUGGGAGUAGUACUCAGCAAAUCUAUCUGAAAUGGCUUCAGGGUCGGAUGUCAAACAGCCCGAUCUGGUCUUAAUGGUGCGUAUAGUCCGGGAGCGAGUAAGGUUCGCCAGUUUCCUGGCCAUCAUAGUAUCUGGCUUAUUAGCCUUCUCAAAAAACUUUUGCUUAGUACGAAGGAUUGCUUUAAUGGAGUCCGUAGAGAGUAACAGAUUCAAUUGGCCCCUAGUCGCUACGAUCUCUCGGAGAACACGAGGGUCACCAGAACGCUUAUGGUCAGAUUGCAACGCAAGCAACGAGGCAGUAAGGUCUUGAACUUGGGAUUGAAGUCGUUUCCGCUUGGCAGAAGUCAGGGCAAUAAAUUGGCCCCGGAGGACCGCCUUAUGCGCAUCCCAAACAGUACCCAAAGCAACCCCAGGAGUGGAGUUCUCAGCAAAAUAGUCGGUAAGAGAUUGCGUGAUGGACCCUCGGACUUCAGGAUCGAGAAGUAGAGCGUCGUUGAGCCGCCAGAAGGGUCGCAAAUUAGGAGGUUGAAGGUCCGCGAGCGAUAUCUCCACCAUUGCGUGAUCCGACCAUGAAAUCUCAUGAAUUUUGGAGGCAAGGAGCGAGGGGAGGAGGCGCUGAUUCAGAAAGAAAUAGUCCAGUCUGGAGUACAUUGUGUGAGGGUGAGAAUAAAAAGAGUAAUCCCGGUCCGUGGGAUGGAGAAGUCUCCAGGCAUCAAACAAUCCAAGGGUUUUGACAAAACGUUGCAAAGGUUUAAAGAGGAGCUUUGGGCAGGUGGAGGCUGAGGAAAGCGUCCUGUCCAUGUAAGGAUCCAUCACAGAGUUGAAGUCCCCUCCAAGGAUAAGGCCUCCCGGCGGAACCGUGAGGAGCAGGUGCAGAAGCUUGUCAAAGAACGCAGAGCACGGAGGACUGGGAGCAUAGACGUUUACUAUCGAAACUGGUUGGUCAUUGAGCAGGCCAUCCAAUCGGAGAAAUCGACCAUCCAAGUCCGAGGACGAGUGAAGUACGCGGAAGGGAAGUCGUUUAUGUAUGAGAAUAGUGACACCGUUGUGCUUGUCCGGAGCCGCCGAGUGAAAGUGCAUGGGAUAUCGGGGGUCCCAGUAGGUGGGAGUACAUGUCUUGCGGAAAUGGGUCUCCUGGAGGAGAAUAAUAUCGGCAUGCAAUCGAAGAUAGUGUCGAAUCGCCAUGCGGCGUUUCUGCGGGGAGAGCAUCCCCUUCACAUUGUGGGAUAUGAUCUUCAGCCCUAGCGGCGGGGAGGAAGCCAUUUGUCAGACGACCGGGCCUGGAGGCAGAGGAAGAGGAGAAAAGGGAAAGGAGAAGGGAAAAAGAGAGAGAAAAAAAAAAAAAAAAAAAAAAAAAAAAAAGAGAAAGAGAAGAAAGAGCACCGGCGGGAGAGACCACCAGGGAAAGAACAGUGCAGCACAAAGGUAAUAGACUACAGUCAAAUGCGUCUAUAAGAAAGUAUCUCGGGGGAACCGGAAUGAAGAGAUGGAGAGAAUGCUCCCUCAACAACAAAGAGAACAAGCAUAUAACAUCCAUUAAACAGUGCAAACUGGAACAAGGUACAAUAAUACCACAGAACAGAUAAAUGACCAGCAGCGGCGUGCCAACUAGAUAGCCCCCCUGGAUAAGUGGAAAUCAGUCCCCAAAAUGUGACGUAUGAACAUCGGGAGUGGCAACACAGAGGCGUGUAAGAUGCGAGCGUAUAUGGGUGAAAAGAAAUAAAUAAAAAUAGAGAAAACAUAACAAAACAAAGCAAAACAAACAAACAAACAAACAAACAAACAAAAAAAAAAAAAAAAUGGGUAAAAAGGAAAGAUGUGUGGUAAGGUUGGUGCGUAGCCACUGCCAAUGAAUCAAGGCGAGAGCCAAUAGGCGGGAAGGACCCCACAUAUCAUAGCGCAAAUGGGCAGCGGAGCGCCUAGGAAUACAUCCCCACACGGAGGUAGCUCAAGCACAGUGCCGCAGACAUGCGACGUGCAUUUAUAUAGAUAUAUAAUAAAAUAAAAAAAAAAAAUAAAUAAAUAAAUAAUAAAAUAAUAAAAAAAAAAAAAAAAAAAAAGAAAAGGAAAGAUGUGUGGUAAGGUUGGUGCGUAGCCACUGCCAAUGAAUCAAGGCGAGAGCCAAUAGGCGGGAAGGACCCCACAUAUCAUAGCGCAAAUGGGCAGCGGAGCGCCUAGGAAUACAUCCCCACACGGAGGUAGCUCAAGCACAGUGCCGCAGACAUGCGACGUGCAUUUAUAUAGAUA
Long non-coding RNA from Spea bombifrons (plains spadefoot toad), 2634 nucleotides. RefSeq lists it as uncharacterized. The transcript has 2 exons. Lineage: Eukaryota; Metazoa; Chordata; Amphibia; Anura; Pelobatidae. The record is from RefSeq and is a predicted model, not a curated record.